This 465-nucleotide ribosomal RNA is filed under the name Vreelandella stevensii. RNAcentral describes it as "partial 16S ribosomal RNA". It matches the Rfam family "Bacterial small subunit ribosomal RNA", at positions 338 to 795 of the family's 1533-position model. The record is from RNAcentral. Lineage: Bacteria; Pseudomonadati; Pseudomonadota; Gammaproteobacteria; Oceanospirillales; Halomonadaceae.
CCUACGGGCGGCAGCAGUGGGGAAUAUUGGACAAUGGGGGCAACCCUGAUCCAGCCAUGCCGCGUGUGUGAAGAAGGCCCUCGGGUUGUAAAGCACUUUCAGUGAGGAAGAACGCCUGGUGGUUAAUACCCAUCAGGAAAGACAUCACUCACAGAAGAAGCACCGGCUAACUCCGUGCCAGCAGCCGCGGUAAUACGGAGGGUGCGAGCGUUAAUCGGAAUUACUGGGCGUAAAGCGCGCGUAGGUGGCUUGAUAAGCCGGUUGUGAAAGCCCCGGGCUCAACCUGGGAACGGCAUCCGGAACUGUCAAGCUAGAGUGACGGAGAGGAAGGUAGAAUUCCCGGUGUAGCGGUGAAAUGCGUAGAGAUCGGGAGGAAUCCCAGUGGCGAAGGCGGCCUUUUGGACUGACACUGCCACUGAGGUGCGAAAGCGUGGGUAGCAAACAGGAUUAGAUACCCUGGUAGUC